Acanthosepion pharaonis is the source of this 112-nucleotide non-coding RNA. The record is from the annotation of a GenBank genome assembly. Lineage: Eukaryota; Metazoa; Mollusca; Cephalopoda; Sepiida; Sepiidae.
ACAGCCACAUCAUUUUGAAGCACUGGUUUCCCUAUGAUCACCGAAGUUAAGCAAUAUUGAGCCUGGUCAGUACCUAGAUGGGUUCCUGUUUGGGAAUACCAAGUGCUGUAAG